Long non-coding RNA from Manis javanica (Malayan pangolin), 2819 nucleotides. RefSeq lists it as uncharacterized. The record is from RefSeq and is a predicted model, not a curated record. NCBI's taxonomy places the organism in Eukaryota, Metazoa, Chordata, Mammalia, Pholidota, Manidae.
UCUAGAGGGCUUAAUGAUUGUCUCUAUUCUCCAGCUCAUAGGCGUGGUGGGGUUGGGUAGGGUAUAAGAGGAUGCUGGACAGUUCAGAGAAUGGGAAAUGGCCAGGUAAUCUCUAGUUUAACAGCUCGGACUAUUUUAAUAUAUGUCCUUUAUAGGUGAUAUUGGCAUCCUUAAAGCAGAGUUUUCUCAUUUGUUUAGAAAAAUGUAGAGCUUUUAAUAUUGCUACUUGGAUUGGAGGAGGUAGAGUACAGUUACUAAGAAAGUGAUCAGAUUUGAUAUGCAAAAUUUGUAGGUCAGAAAUCUGCUGCAUGAGUCUCACAGAAUUUUACUCACCAGUUUUUGGAGCAAGAGAACAAAUCUUGAACCUUCUGGAAAGACAGUCUUGAAUGAAUCUUGAGGGUUUGUAUAAUGCAUGAUGAAGCCAUUAAGGGUUAAAAGGAGAGGAUCCAACUAAAGAGAUUCGGCUUUGGGCCCGAAGAACUAUCAAACACUGCUGCCAUUCUUGUACAAACCUGGUUCUUCCUAAUCACUUUUUGCUUCAGAGUCACUGAAAUUCUUCUUUACCAUCCCCUGUGCCAUCAAGGUCAUGCUCAUCUACAGAUCUACCUAUCCUCAAAUGCCUUAUGUGGGAAGUUUUUGUGAAAGUGCAUUCCUUCUCUAGAUCAAAUUGAAGAACAAAGAGAAAGAAUAGCCAUGAGAGAAAUGUGAGAGAAGCAAAGUAAAGACCUUACUGAGAACAAGACUCAAAUCUAGAGACCAAGGAAAGGUGAGCCUAAGGGACUCACAAGAACUGGAUACCUUCAAGAUAUGGAUGAGCAGUUGAGGUCAUUUUAUUUAACUCUCUGGUGGUCAACUUUAUGUGUCAACUUAACUGGGCCACAGGGUGCCCAGAUAUUGGUUAACAUUAUUCUAGAUGUUUCUGUGAGGAGGUUUCUGGAUGAGAUUAACAUUUCAGUUGGCAGACUAAGUAAAGCAGAUCGCGCUCCCCUAUGUGGGUGGACCUGAUUGACCACGGGCCCAUCUGUUGAAGGCCUGAGUAGGACAAAAACGCUGAGUAACAGCAGUUCAUUCUCCCUGCCCAUCUUCAGGCUGAGCUGUCAACCUACCUCUGCUUUUGGGCUUGGUCUCAGACCAAAGCGUAUGCCAGGGGCUCUCCUGGGUCUCCAGCUUGCCAACUCACAUCUUCAGACUCAUCAGCCUCCAUAGUCACAUUGAACCAAUUCCUUAUUUUAUCUCUAUAUAAAAUACAUGUGUGUGAUUAACAUAUAAAAUGAGGAAUAUGUAUAUAUAAUUGUGUGAUGAAAAUAAAAUCUAACCCUGUUUCUCUGGAGAACUCAGACUAAUACACGUUCCUUCUUUGUAAUCCCUGGGCCACAAACACCCUGCUCAGACACAUUUCCUGAGAGCUGGCCAUAGUAAUGGGACAGCAGCCAGAGCACCUGAAUGAGCUGGGAGCUCCUUCUCUCAGACUGAACAAAUACAGGGAGGACACAUGGGCCAAUAAGAAUACAGUAAGAUAAGACUCCGGGAGUGGUUCAAGAACCAGAAAGAAGAAACUUUAUGUUCAAAGAGGAAAAGCGGUAAAAUCUAGGGAUGAAUAAGAGCUACGAUGGGGAAAUGAUAGAGAUAAAAUUGUUCUUACACAGGAAAGAAGAUAAAAAUACUUCCUCAGUAGGAGCAGCUUUAUCAAAAACCUAGAGAUAAAGAAUGGGAGAGGAGGGAAAAGGUGCAUUAGGGUUAAUGUGAGAGAGACCACAGACAAUGUGAGCAGUAAGCCCAUUGUAGGUAGAAACUGAGCCCAAAAGAAUGUGGAAUACAUGGCCCUGAAGGAGGGCAAGGAGCACAGCAAGAGAUGAGGAGAGAAGACUGCUCAGAGGGUAACUACCAGAGUAAGGAAAAAUCCCCUGAAUGCGGGACAAACACAAUUCAAAGUAGGAACACAGAUGUAACCCAAGUGGCAAAGGAACUCAGUUGUGUUGCCCAUGAGAGAAGAAAAUACUAGUGUAGUUUCUGUGAGAGAAACAAAGUGGGGCCUGAAGAAGGAAACUGGCUGCCCCCUACGGUCUGCACCGGAGGCUCGCUGCUCGUGGAUCACACAACUCAGUCACAGUUCUAGUGGUAACAGAAAGCAAGCCCAGCAGGCUUAGAAAGGGGAAAAUAUUUUCAUUAGUCGGAUACUGAGAUAGCCGGUUCUCAAAAGGCAUUGGAAGCAGUAAAUAAUUACCAAGAAAGCUAGCCAUGCUCUCUCUCCAUCCCCGGCUUCUCUCCGAGCUUUCGCUUCCUGAUCCCAGCCCAGAAGGUGGCCGAAGACAAGCUGCCUCACCGCUUUAUGAGCAGACAUCAGCUCAUUUCCAGGCAUUCACAGAGGCUGACUCACAGAUAGAAAAUAUGACUGCACAUCUAGAUCAGGUGUUUUGGUGAAAGGGUAGAGUCAGACUACACAAAAUUGUUUCCAAAGACUCCUCCUUACAGGUGGGGAUGAUUCUCAGAGAAUUAAAAUUGUUCUGACCUAAGCAUCACCCUAGAGGUCACUUCUGCAAUGGACAAAUGGAAACAUCAAAAUGACAAGUUAGCUGUGGAUCUUCAGCUGUAAUGUGAUGCUACUUGGUGAAAUAGAAGCUGUAAUUACUAAACAAGAAAGACUGAGUCCUUUCCAAUGCCAACUCUUAUUCUUAUUGUGAUCCUAGCUGCAAGACUGGCUGUGGGUUGGGGACCUUUGCCAUGUCACCCUUAUGAGGCCAUAGUGGAGACUUUGCCUCCAGACAAACUAUGCUAAAAACAAACAAAAAUAAGAUAAAUAAAAACUGAUGCAAGAAUGA